This 503-nucleotide ribosomal RNA is filed under the name uncultured bacterium. RNAcentral's name for it is "partial 16S ribosomal RNA". It matches the Rfam family "Bacterial small subunit ribosomal RNA", at positions 28 to 507 of the family's 1533-position model. The record is from RNAcentral.
GACGAACGCUGGCGGCGUGCUUAACACAUGCAAGUCGAACGGUGAAGCGCUUUCCUUUUUGGUUGGUGUGGAUGAGUGGCGAACGGGUGAGUAACACGUGAGUAACCUGCCCCCUUCUUCUGGAUAACCGCAUGAAAGUGUGGCUAAUACGGGAUAUUCUGCGCCUGCUGCAUGGUGGGUGUGGGAAAGAUUGUGCCUUUGGGUGUUUUCGGUGGGGGAUGGGCUCGCGGCCUAUCAGCUUGUUGGUGGGGUGAUGGCCUACCAAGGCGGUGACGGGUAGCCGGCCUGAGAGGGUGGACGGUCACACUGGGACUGAGACACGGCCCAGACUCCUACGGGAGGCAGCAGUGGGGAAUAUUGCACAAUGGGCGCAAGCCUGAUGCAGCGACGCCGGGUGAGGGAUGGAGGCCUUCGGGUUGUGAACCUCUUUCGCCAGUGAAGCAGGCCUGCUCCUUGUGGGUGGGUUGACGGUAGCUGGAUAAGAAGCGCCGGCUAACUACGUG